Molecule: non-coding RNA, 30 nt
Filed under: Rattus norvegicus (Norway rat)
Lineage: Eukaryota; Metazoa; Chordata; Mammalia; Rodentia; Muridae
Source: RNAcentral
AAAAAAAAAAAGUGUGCUUCAACGUGAUGU